GAAAGAGACAAAGCCCAGAGAGGAGGGGCUGGAUGGGGGUGGGAGUUUGGAGCUGGCUGGGGACUGGAAGGGAGGGCAGACGGGGGUCUGCCUCGCUGGGCCCUAGAAUGGACCCGGCAGAGGGGUCCCAUUCGCUGGACCUACAAGCUCUGUUUUAGACCGUGUUCCUGUCGUCUAAUAAACCUCUAUGUUACUGGCUGUCUGAGAGUCACGUCUGACUGCGACGUGGGGGUGCAGGACCCUCUGGCUUCCCCAGGACCCCGCCUGGGUGGACUCGCUGUGGGAAGCGCAUGGAGGGGCAGAUGCUGAAUGCUCCCAGGUCAGACCCAGGAGGUGAAGCCGUGUGAGCUUCUAGCCCUGGAUUCACCCCUCGGGCUCUGUUCCCCAGGGGACGCUCCCGUCUGUCUGGAUCAGACACAGCUCUAUCACCUGUCACUGCCUGCGCCGAUCCCGCUCCCUGUGCUAGGCGCUCUCGGCUAGUUCACUGUCAGUCCAGCCACAUCCCCCUGCGCUCUGGCCCUGUCCAGGGCCCAGCUCCACCCCGUGGGCUCUGUCCUGUGGGGGCUGCUCCCAGCCGUGCUGCAGCUGGGCCGGACGCUACCUGUCGCUUUCCAAGCGAUGCCCGACCCGUCCGAUCAGCGCGUCGAGUGCCCUGCUCUGUGCCCGUCUCUCCCUCCCGGCUCCGUCCUGUCUCUGCCCCCCGCCCCUCCGGGGCAUCUGUCCCCUGUGGGACGCCCCACUGCAGCUCUGACAGCAGAUUCCUGUCCACCUGGCGCCUCCGGCGUGUGGCCAUGCGGGGGGGUGUGUCGGUCUGUACCCACUAUUAGCCUACGGGUUGGCACCAGGCCCCCAGCCGUGCACCGGGUCUGUGUCCCCGUCUGAGAUCUGGGCGCUGCUGGCCCCGGUGCUGCCUCCUGGUGUGGGUAGCGGAUGGGGCAGAUCCCGGAGGGAGGAAGGGGAGGCACCAUCUCUCUGAGCUGCUGUUUUCUCCUUUGCUCUGUUGAUUCUCUCCUGGGACUUACUGGCUCCUUCCUGGUGCGCCUGCCCCCCACGGCCGCGCGCUGCUUGGUGCCCCCCAGCAAGGGGUGCUGGAGAGUGAAUUAGCCAGUGGGCAGGACAGGGAGGUCGGAGGGGGACAGGUGGAUGGGGGCUGCCCUGAGGGAAGAGGCAGGAGGGAUCCCAGUUCUGGCACCAAUGCCCCAGAGUGGCGCUAGGGGACCUGGGCUGCAGGGAGAGGGACAGGGGCUCAGUAGGGGGCGCUCUCCCCUGGCAGUCAGUGCUGUCCCCAAUGGGUGCUGGGGGGUGCUGGGCUGCAGGGAGCGGGGUGGGGGGAUUGUGGCUGAACCAUCUGAUCCAAAUCCCUUCCCCCACCCUCCACGUCUCUCCUCCAUCGCCCAGAUGCUCCUUCAGGUCUCUCUCUUGUCGCUGGGAUCGUCAUCGGGUCACUGGUGGGGGCGGCGCUGGUCGGAACCGGGGUCUAUCUCCUCUAUGCUCGCUGCCGGAAUGAAACCCCCAAGGAGAACGGGGCACCCGUCCUGGUGUACAAGAACCAGCCUCCUACAGCCUGGGUGGGGUCUGUGGCCCAGUCCGGGAACCCCCCUGACCCCAGCCCCACAUACCAGACGCUGCAGCCCCGACAGCCGGACAUGUACGAGGACCUGAAGAAGUGACGCCCCCUUCUGCCCCCCGGUGCAUGCUGGGAGGGGCCCGGGGCAUGCUGGGAAAGGCGAGUCCCUGAGCCUGGGUCCUGCUGCCCCGGGGAUGUCCCGUCGAUGAAGGGCAGGAACAGUCACCACCCACCCCAGGGGGUGCAUCCGUCUGUCUGUCCAUGCUGCUUCCCUGGGGCCCAUCACCGCAGCGUCUGGGCCCCUGUGAGGAAAUCAGAAAGUCGGCGCCUGUGACUGGCUCCAGCUCCGCUGUGCCCAGCACAGGAUUUGGUUUGGUGACGUCUCACGACCAAACACCCCCAGCCUGGGCACGUGCCCUGUUCUCUACCUGCCUGACCUGAGCCUGGCACUCUGUGUCCCACACCAGGCCGCGGGAGCUCCCCACUGCACAGAGGGGCCCAGGCGGCUCUGUGACCGGCCGGGUCCCACGGGGAGUCUGUGGGGCUGCAGGGACUCGGACCCGGGUCUCCCCAGUGCCCGGCUGGUGCCCAAACCAGGGCCAGGGCACCCUGCCCAGGGCUUCCCCCCAACCCUCCCCCCAGCGCCCGGCCCCGCAUCUUCUCCUCCCCGGGGCAGUUCUCCCCUACAGAGCUGUGAGCAGCGAAUCCGACCCGCCUGGCCGGGACCCGGGGCCCCUGGCGGAGGGCACAGGGGACUGAGAGGCUCGCGGGUCCCCGGGCUCUGACGUCUCCAGACCAGUCCCCAAAGGGGCUCCAGAGGUCCCUGCCCAGAGCCGGCAGCGCUGGGCGCGGUGACCGUGGUGAGCUGUGUGCCGGAGGCACGGCCGGAGCUGUGUCUGGCCUGGGUCCCAGCGGCUGGUUCCAGCCGGGCAGCGGGAGGCUCCAGGCCCAUCCCUGGCAGACAGGAGGCACUGGGCCGUUCUCUCUGUGCCCGGCUCUGGGGGCGCUGAACCGCACAGGAGCUGCCAGGGGUGGGUUCGGGACCUCGGGGCUCUGGGAAGCACAUUCCCAUUUUAUUCUCCAUUUCACCCAUUGUCCCGUUGGGUGAUACUGGGUCAGACCAAGGGUCCAUCUAGCCCAGUGUCCUGUCUGCUGACAGUGGCCAGUGCCAGGUGCCCCACAGGGAAUGAACAGAACAGGGAACCAUCCACUGAUCCAUCCCCUGUCGCCCAUU
This is a long non-coding RNA of Trachemys scripta elegans, 2801 nucleotides long. RefSeq lists it as uncharacterized. The transcript is spliced from 4 exons. NCBI's taxonomy places the organism in Eukaryota, Metazoa, Chordata, Testudines, Emydidae. The record is from RefSeq and is a predicted model, not a curated record.